GGGGGGAAGUGGCAGCAUAUCCAGUGUUCAGGAGACCAAGAGGGGCACGUUAGGGGGGAAGUGGCAGCAUAUCCAGUGUUCAGGAGACCAAGAGGGGCACGUUAGGGGGGAAAGUGGCAGCAUAUCCAGUGUUCAGGAGACCAAGAGGGGACAAGUUAGGGGGGAAAGUGGCAGCAUAUCCAGUGUUCAGGAGACCAAGAGGGGCACGUUAGGGGGGAAAGUGGCAGCAUAUCCAGUGUUCAGGAGACCAAGAGGGGCACGUUAGGGGGGAAAGUGGCAGCAUAUCCAGUGUUCAGGUGUCUUACUUCAUUAUGAAACUCAGGUGUAAGAUCUCUGGAACACAUCAUGAUCAGUGGCUGGCACACAGAAGGGACUUUAUCCUCACUAAUCUGCCCAACUUUCAAAACAGCAGAAAAUGAUUCUACUAUUUUUUGCAGUGGUGUGGAACCUAGUGUCCAAGUUACUUAGGAUGUUGUCCAUAGCAGUUAAAAACCACUGUUUCCAAAACACCAUUACUGCACUGUCCUGAGCUGUCUCCUCUUGAGAGGUCUCAUCAUGGAAUCUCUUCCCUUUCCUCUGGUGGUUGUGUUCCGUGCUACAUUGAGGUGCAUCAUCCCAGUGUUGCCUCAGACAGGAGAGACUCCCAUCCAUCUCUAAGAGCCUGCAUCUCUUCCUUUAAGGCUAUUGAUAUUGGCUGCCACUGUGUCAAGUGAGAUUUGUCCUGACUGGAGAAUCACAUUCCUGUCCUCAAUGAAUUGCAGAACCUGCAAUUAUGCCAACUGACAUGUCAUUCAACACAAUGCUGCUCACCUCCUUCAGUUGGGAGACAGGGCUGGUUCAGGGGUAUGGGGAUGGGGAGACAGGGCAGGUUCAGGGGUAUGGGGAUGGGGAGACAGGGCUGGUUCAGGGGGAUGGGGAUGGGGAGACGGGGCUGGUUCGGGGGGGAUGGGGAGACAGGGCUGGUGAGCCUGAAGCUGUAUCUGGAGGGCCUGGCACCAGGCAGGGGCAGGGACAACGGAUUUAGUAUGAAUAGCUUGCUAAAGGUUUUCUUGCAUUGAUUAAAUGUCGGAUAAAAGAGGAGCGAAAUGUAAACAUUCAACAUUUUCCGUGAAGAUAUGAAGUAACUAAUGUUAGGGGAGCAAAAGUAGCCUGUUUCACUAUGGACUAAACUAACAGGUUCAUUUCCACCACUCACGGACUACACACUCCUUCCUUUGUGAAGAAAUGGGUGACAUUCUGUCACCGUUUCUUUUCUCUCUCCUGUCUUUCUUUUCUUUCUUUCCGUUUUUGGAAGCCAGAUUUUUAUUUUGGAAGCUGAGACAUGGGCAAUUCACUGCUAGCAAGUACCGCCUGGUUUGGGGGCAGGACCGAACCAUUUCAUGUAAAUAGAGAGGGGGGGGCGAGGCUCUCUGGAUGUUUACUUUUUGCCAAAAACAAGAAAGGAAAACGAAACCGUUCGUUUUAUUAGUACAUUGUAAAUCAAAUAUUAUAUUAUUAUUAUAAUAGGUUAAUAAUUUAAUAUUGAAAAAAAUAUAUACCUAAUGUUCUAAUAAUUGUUUAGGGCCCCUGUCAGUCACAGGCCCUUAGAACAGUCCUAACUUUCCCCCCUAUAUGGCGCCCCUGCAGGGGAUCAAUAACAUGGGCCUGGUUUAGUUGGAAGCCCUUUCACCACGUCAAGGUACAGGCCGAGAGAAGGAUUUCGUUUUUUAAUUAAGGCCUUUAACCCCCUGCUCUAUCUUUGUAGUGUGUGACUUGAUGGGGCUUGGAUAGGUGUAGCAAUAUGGUGCUGACUCAACCCAGCUGUGAAAUGGGCUUGGAUAGGUGUAGCAAUAUGGUGCUGACUCAACCCAGCUGUGAAAUGGGCUUGGAUAGGUGUAGCAAUAUGGUGCUGACUCAACCCAGCUGUGAAAUGGGCUUGGAUAGGUGUAGCAAUAUGGUGAUGACUCAACCCGGCUGUGAAAUGGGCUUGGAUAGGUGUAGCAAUAUGGUGCUGACUCAACCCGGCUGUGUAAUGGACUUGGAUAGGUGUAGCAAUAUGGUGCUGACUCCACCCGGCUGUGUAAUGGGCUUGGAUAGGUGUAGCAAUAUGGUGAUGACUCAACCCGGCUGUGUAAUGGACUUGGAUAGGUGUAGCAAUAUGGUGAUGACUCAACCCGGCUGUGAAAUGGGCUUGGAUAGGUGUAGCAAUAUGGUGAUGACUCAACCCGGCUGUGAAAUGGGCUUGGAUAGGUGUAGCAAUAUGGUGAUGACUCAACCCGGCUGUGUAAUGGACUUGGAUAGGUGUAGCAAUAUGGUGCUGACUCAACCCGGCUGUGUAAUGGACUCCGGGACACUUCUGCCAUAUUACAUACACAAAUCUAGAACCUCCAGAUAUGCAAACACUAACUAAAAACCAAUGUCCAAUUCCAUACCAACCCUGGUCUAAAAUUAGAUUUGGAAUUGGACACAGAAGAUGAAUGGCUAGGGAGAAGGGGUUAAGGACCAGGUAGCCUAGUGGUUAGAGCACUGUGCCAGUAACCAAAAGGUUGCUAGAUUGAAUCCCUGAGCUGACAAAGUAAAAGUCUGUUGUUCUGCCCCUGAACAAGGCAGUUAACCCAGAGUUCCUAGGCCGUCAUUGAAAAUAAGCGUUUGUUCUUGCCUAUUUAAACAAAGGUUACAUUUUUUUUUUUUUUUUUUUAAGUCUGUAACUGGGCAACUGAACAGUGAAUUUCAGUCAAUUGAACAUUUUACUUGCAAUGAAUACAUUUAAUAUGCAAAUGUAUACAUUUACAGCCAAUUCGAGCAAGUUUCAAAUAUUUACCAGCAAACAAAUGGAAAAAUAUACAAAUAUUUACAUGCUUGUAAACAUUACUUGGAAUACAAGACAGAUACGUAUGCUAUAUACUUACCAAACAACUUACCAUCUUCACAGCCAAUAUCUGAAAAAAAACCCCACAUCUUUAUACAAAUUUAAAACAAUAUUUCAACCGGUUAGGCAGGACACAGGUAGCCUUCACACGCCUGAAUUCCUCCAGGAGGCAGUCCCAGAUGACCCUGGUCACCCAACCUUGCAGUGCCCUACACGGUAACUGUAGGCAAUCGUUUUGAAGGAAUCUCCAGUUACAAGGUAUCUGUAGGAAUAUGGAAGACAAUGUAAUUAUUAGACUGUUACAUCACCAGGUCAUUGUGGAUUACUAAAGUAUAAUAUCCCUG
RNAcentral lists this long non-coding RNA (3192 nucleotides) under Salmo salar (Atlantic salmon). Its description in RNAcentral is "lncRNA (ENSSSAG00000114324.1)". The record is from RNAcentral. Lineage: Eukaryota; Metazoa; Chordata; Actinopteri; Salmoniformes; Salmonidae.